UACGGAGGAUGCGAGCGUUAUCCGGAUUUAUUGGGUUUAAAGGGUGCGUAGGCGGAAUAUCAAGUCAGCGGUAAAAAUUCAGGGCUCAACCCUGUCGAGCCGUCGGAACUGGGUGCCUUGAGUGGGCGAGAAGUAUGCGGAAUGCGUGGUGUAGCGGUGAAAUGCUUAGAUAUCACGAAGAACUCCGAUUGCGAAGGCAGCUCACUGGACUGCAACUGACACUGAGGCUCGAAAGUGUGGGUAUCAAACAGG
RNAcentral lists this ribosomal RNA (252 nucleotides) under uncultured Bacteroidales bacterium. RNAcentral describes it as "partial 16S ribosomal RNA". It matches the Rfam family "Bacterial small subunit ribosomal RNA", at positions 524 to 776 of the family's 1533-position model. The record is from RNAcentral. Lineage: Bacteria; Pseudomonadati; Bacteroidota; Bacteroidia; Bacteroidales.